RNAcentral lists this ribosomal RNA (505 nucleotides) under uncultured bacterium. RNAcentral's name for it is "bacterial SSU rRNA". It matches the Rfam family "Bacterial small subunit ribosomal RNA", at positions 28 to 527 of the family's 1533-position model. The record is from RNAcentral.
GAUGAACGCUAGCUACAGGCUUAACACAUGCAAGUCGAGGGGCAGCGCAGUGUAGCAAUACACGGGCGGCGACCGGCGCACGGGUGCGUAACGCGUAUCCAACCUUCCCGUUACUCAGGGAUAGCCUUCCGAAAGGGAGAUUAAUACCUGAUGGUGUUCAAAUUCCGCAUGUUAUUUGAACUAAAGAUUUAUCGGUAACGGAUGGGGAUGCGUGACAUUAGGUAGAUGGCGGGGUAACGGCCCACCAUGCCCACGAUGUCUAGGGGUUCUGAGAGGAAGGUCCCCCACACUGGAACUGAGACACGGUCCAGACUCCUACGGGAGGCAGCAGUGAGGAAUAUUGGUCAAUGGUCGGAAGACUGAACCAGCCAAGUAGCGUGAAGGAUGACUGCCCUACGGGUUGUAAACUUCUUUUGUUGGGAAUAAAAGACGCUACGUGUAGCGUUCUGCAUGUACCUUACGAAUAAGCAUCGGCUAAUUCCGUGCCAGCAGCCGCGGUAAAAGU